AGCAGCCUCCGCGGGAAUACGUAGGUGGCAAGCGUUGUCCGGAAUUAUUGGGCGUAAAGGGCUCGCAGGCGGUUUCUUAAGUCUGAUGUGAAAGCCCCCGGCUCAACCGGGGAGGGUCAUUGGAAACUGGGAAACUUGAGUGCAGAAGAGGAGAGUGGAAUUCCACGUGUAGCGGUGAAAUGCGUAGAGAUGUGGAGGAACACCAGUGGCGAAGGCGACUCUCUGGUCUGUAACUGACGCUGAGGAGCGAAAGCGUGGGGAGCGAACAGGAUUAGAUACCCCAGUAGUCCCUGUCUCUUAUAA
Molecule: ribosomal RNA, 303 nt
Filed under: uncultured bacterium
Lineage: Bacteria
Description: partial 16S ribosomal RNA
Rfam family: Bacterial small subunit ribosomal RNA
Source: RNAcentral